ACUAUACUCUCUCCAUCUCAAAAAAUUUGUCUUAGAUUUAUCUAGAUAUGAAUGUAUCUAGUCACGUUUUAGUAUUUUGAAACAUCCAUUUCAAGACAAACCUAAGACAAAAAUUUGAAGACGGAGAAAGUACAUC
Non-coding RNA from Hordeum vulgare subsp. vulgare (domesticated barley), 136 nucleotides. NCBI's taxonomy places the organism in Eukaryota, Viridiplantae, Streptophyta, Magnoliopsida, Poales, Poaceae. The record is from Rfam.